RNAcentral lists this long non-coding RNA (2264 nucleotides) under Homo sapiens (human). RNAcentral's name for it is "HSALNT0323400". Lineage: Eukaryota; Metazoa; Chordata; Mammalia; Primates; Hominidae. The record is from RNAcentral.
AGCUCCCACGCAGCCCGCGGCCUGAAAGGCUGGUCUCACUCCCACUGAGUGGCUUGCAUAUGAUCUUAUAUAUACUCUCACUCUCACUCCUGGCUUGUAUAUGAUCUUAUACAAGUUAGAAAAGCAAGCUGACUCACAGUUUCUUGGCUCUCCCACAGAGCCUGCAGUGGCUAUCCACCUCCUUCAAAGGGUCUGUGGAUUCUCUUGGCUUUCCUGGUAUGUUCCCGCUAUAGUUCUUGGAGCAAAAGUUCACAUUGUGGGUCUCCAGAGGCUGCUCUGUUUAUCCGAAUGGGAGCUGAAAGUUAGUGCUGUUUCCUAUCUGCUAUUUUCCUGGUAUUCUUUUUAAAUUUCUUUUUUUAGAUAGUUUCGUGUUAGUGUAUAAGAAUGCAACUCAUUUUUUGUAUGUUGACUUUUAUCCUGCAAGUUUAUUGAAUUAGUUUAUUAGUUCUAACAGUUUUUUUGAUGAAGUCUUUUGAGGUUUCUAUAUAUAAGAUCAUGUCAUCUGCAAAUAUCAACAAGUUCAUUUUUUUUCUCAUUUGGAUGCCUUUUUCUUCCCUUUUGCAUAAUUUCUCUAAAAGGACUUCCAGUACUAUGCUGAGUAAGAGUGAUGAAGGAAUGCCUGUUACUAUGCAUCUAACAAAGGACUAAAAUCCAGAAUCUACAAGGAACUAAACUCAACAAGAAAAAAUAAUCUCAUUAACAAGUGGGGAAAAGAUAGGAACAGACAUUUCUCAAAAGAAGAUAUACAAGAGGACAAGAAACAUAAAAUAAAAUGCUCAAUAUCACUAACCGUCAGUGAAAUGCAAGUUAAAACCACAAUGAGAUGCCACAUCACACCGGUCGGAAUGGCCAUUAUUAAAAAGUCAAAAAACCACAGAUGUCGACAAAGAUGCAGAGAAAAGGGAGCACUUAUACACCGUUGGUGCGAAUAUGAAUUAGUACAACCUCUAUGGACAACAGUAUAGAGAUUUCUCAAAGAAGUAAAAAUAGAACCACCAUUAGGCCCAGCAAUCCCACUACUGGGUAUCUACCCAAAGAAAGAGAAAUUGUUAUAUAUAUAUAUCUGCACUCAUAUGUUUAUCACUGCACUAGUCGCAGUAACAAAGUCAUGGAAUGAACCUAAGUUUCCAUCAAAAGAUGAUUGGAUAAAGAAAAUGUGGAAUACCAUGAAAUACUACACAUCCGUAGAAAAAAAAUUAUGUCUUCUGCAGCAACAUGGAUGUAACUGGAGGUCAAAAUACUCAGAAACACAACAUCAAAUACCACAUGUUCUCACUUAUAAAUGGGAGACAUGUACAAACAGAGAAAAAUAGUCAAGGCUGGGGACUUUAAAAGAGGGGCUUGGGAGGGACUUGAGAGUUGAAAAAUUACCUACUGGAUACAAUGUUCAUUAUUCAGGUAAUAGGAACAUUAGAAGCCCAAAUCUCAGCUUUCCACAAUAUAUCCAUGUGACAAAUCUGCAUAUAUACCCACUGAAUCUAUAAAAAUAAAAUGAAUAAAUUUUAAAAAGCAUGUUUCAACACUUCAUAGAAACUCUACAGUUUGGUUAUUAACAUAGAAUCUUCUAGGUCUCAUGGUCAAGUAGCAACAGAGCUAAAUCUAUUCCUAAGAGUUCUUUUUCUAUGAACCUCAAAACUGACAGCCUUAAGAAUUAUCUAACUAAUAGGCUAAAACAAUAUUCUUAAACAUGAUAUAUUCUUCCUCCAAAAUCCAAGAAGUUCCACACAAGACUGUGCCUUUUUGUUGGAGGUAGUAGGUACAAAGAAAAAUAACUUGACCUUGAGUUUAGAGUACAUAUUCUGAUGUGGACUAGAUCAUUAAAUCACUAAAGUAAUAACCAAUAUGGCAGUGUAAUUAUGAUUAUAGGUUUUAUCUCUGACUCUUGGCAGCCAUGUUUGCUAGGAAAUUAUUUGCCAUGGUCUGCUCACCAAAUCCAAUUUACACAAUAUUAUUACAAUAGAGGGCCACAAUGAUGCUCUGUUGAAUGCCAAGAUGAAAACGGUAUCUUCUUCUAGAGAGGAUGGAGGUAGUCUACCCCUGUGAUACGAUAGUGAGUGUUGUCUAUAUUUUCCUAGGUGAAUUUGAACUACUACAUUUACACUCUUUGUGCGAUUAAAAAGGACGUAUCUUCCAGAUCAAUAAAAGCUUACCAAAAGUUACAGUAGGUAUUGAUCUCUUCUGGUAAUGAUAUUACAUCCAGCACAGAGCUGCAAUUGAGUUUUCACAUGCUUAAUUAUGCCGUAGUUCUCUGUCGUCUGCCAUGA